GGCAUUUAUACCUAUAUGCAAGGGUACCUAUAUCUGGUGGUGAUGAUACACAGUGAUAAUUAACCAUUUUUUUCUUCUUUUUGUUUAAUUUUGAAAAAAAAUGGAAUUUAAACUUUUUUCAGCAUUUUGGAAAAAAAUAAUUUUGUAAAUUUUUCAUGUUUUUUUCAUUUAUUUUAUAAGAAUUAAAUUUUAAAAAUUUUUUUUUUUUUAAAUAUUCAAUUAUUUUUUUUUAAUUUUUGAAAAAUUUGAUUUUUUUGAAAUAUUUUG
RNAcentral lists this long non-coding RNA (267 nucleotides) under Mytilus galloprovincialis (Mediterranean mussel). Lineage: Eukaryota; Metazoa; Mollusca; Bivalvia; Mytilida; Mytilidae. The record is from RNAcentral.